This is a long non-coding RNA of Oncorhynchus tshawytscha (Chinook salmon), 550 nucleotides long. NCBI's taxonomy places the organism in Eukaryota, Metazoa, Chordata, Actinopteri, Salmoniformes, Salmonidae. The record is from Ensembl.
AGAAAAGAGGGGACAUUAUGAAAGGAGAGAGGUAAAACAGAGUAUGGGGAAAAGAGGGGACAUUAUGAAAGGAGAGAGGUAAAACAGAGUUUGGAGAAAAGAGGGGACAUGAAAGGAGAGAGGUAAAGAGAGUAUGGAGAAAAGAGGGGACAUUAUGAAAGGAGAGAGGUAAAACAGAGUAUGGAGAAAAGAGGGGACAUUAUGAAAGGAGAGAGGUAAAGAGAGUAUGGAGAAGAGAGGGGAUAUUAUGAAAGGAGAGAGGUAAAGAGAGUAUGGAGAAAAGAGGGGACAUUAUGAAAGGAGAGAGGUAAAGAGAGUAUGGAGAAAAGAGGGGACAUUAUGAAAGGAGAGAGGUAAAAGAGGAUAUGGAGAAAAGAGGGGACAUGAAAGGAGAGAGGUAAAGAGAGUAUGGAGAAGAGAGGGGACAUUAUGAAAGGAGAGAGGUAAAAGAGAGUAUGGAGAAAGGAGGGGACAUUAUGAAAGGAGAGAGGUAAAAGAGGAUAUGGAGAAAAGAGGGGACAUUAUGAAAGGAGAGAGGUAAAAGAGAAUA